Molecule: ribosomal RNA, 269 nt
Filed under: uncultured archaeon
Lineage: Archaea
Description: partial 16S ribosomal RNA
Rfam family: Archaeal small subunit ribosomal RNA
Source: RNAcentral
CAGCGCCACGAGUGGCAACCGUUUAUUUGGCCUAAAGCGUCCGUAGCUGGUUAUGUAAAUCUUUUGUGAAAUCGCCAUCGUAAACAUGGCGGCAUGCAGGAGACACUGUAUAACUUGAGACCGGGAGGCGUCAGAGGUAUUCCAGGGGGAGCGGUAAAAUGCUAUAAUCCCUAGAGGACCACCUGUGGCGAAGGCGUCUGACGAGAACGGAUCUGACAGUGAGGGACGAAAGCCAGGGGAGCGAACCGGAUUAGAUACCCGAGUAGUCC